Molecule: small nuclear RNA, 296 nt
Filed under: Jaculus jaculus (lesser Egyptian jerboa)
Lineage: Eukaryota; Metazoa; Chordata; Mammalia; Rodentia; Dipodidae
Description: 7SK RNA (ENSJJAG00000000922.1)
Rfam family: 7SK RNA
About the family: 7SK was discovered as an abundant small nuclear RNA in the mid-70s but a possible function has only recently been suggested.
Source: Rfam by way of RNAcentral
AGAUGGGAGGGUGAUCUGGCUAUGACAUCUGUCACCCCAUUGAUCACUAGCGUUGAUCUGGCUGGCUGGGCGGUGUCCCCUUCCUCCCUCUCCACUCCAUGUGCGUCCCUCCGGAAGCUGUACACUAGGUCACAGAGGACGACCUUCCCUAAGUAAAGGGGGACAGAACUUGGGUCAAGGGUAUCUGAGUAGCUGCACUCUCCUGCUAGAACCUCCAGAUGAGCUCUCAGAUCAGGAUUCUGUGGCUACCUCAGCAAAUUGCACAAACUUAGUGGCUCAAAACAUGUUUAUUAUCU